AAUUGUAAAUAAAAAUAUGAUGACGAUGGGAUUGAAAAAAAAUUAAAACGCGACUUUAAUCUAAAUUUCUUAAUACGAGUUAUGAAGAUAUUGUGCGCAUGUGAAAAGAUUAAAACAUGUAUUUUAUCUCAUUUUCGUGGCACGAGUAAAUUGUGAUUUUUUUUUUAAUUAAAUCUUAUUUUAAACGCAAAAACACAAUCAACAGCUUCGGUCAACGAAAUGAAAGAUAAUUAUUCGCGUUUGCACAUUCGACAUGCUGUGCUCCGAAUUAUUGCGAUGUAUUAUCACAAAAGCGAUUGUAGCAUCAUAUUCUGCCCAUCUCAAUUCGAGUAGAUCAAAACGGCGUGUGAAUUAUAUUUGUUUUGUUUUUUUUUUUUUUAAUUCUUGAGAUCCAUAUAAUAAACUUGAUCGCAUGCACAUGCCACAAAUGAAUCUCUUAAUUACCACACGUUUAUGUAAAAUCUAUUAAUAUAAUAUAUCUUUGACUUGACGAUUGGUAAUUUAAAAUGCAUAGGGAUCGAGAGAGAAAGAAAGAGAGAGCCGAGGAUAACGUCAAAAAGCCGAGCAGACUCGUGCGUUCUUUCGUAUUAAGUAGGCAAUUAGGCACUUAAUUCAUGAUCGCGGGCGAACAAUGAUUCUGGAGGAAGAGCGGAGAGCCGGAGUUUACGCUUAACAAAAUGCCAGGCAAAACGAGGGAAAAAAAUGUUUUGGUGCUAAUACAGAAGACAUACAAGCACAAAAACACACGACUUGGAUUUGGAAUAAUACUUUGAAUGAAAAAUAUAAAUUAAAGCGCUAGAGAGUAAUCUUUGACCGUCAUACGUCAGUCAAUUCUCUCCGAGUUGCAAAAGUUUGUGCAUUUCCUGAAAGAAACAUUAGCGCAAAAUGUUUGCGUUAUUUAAGAUGGAAUUAUUGAAUUAACAAAGUAAUAUAGAGAAUUGUACAUGUUACAAGAGAGCGUUAAUAAAAUUUAGAACGAGUGGCUCAUAUACCUUUCGUUACAAGAGCGCAAGAGUAAACACGUAAAAAUAGCCGUGCGAGCACAGAUUCAGAUGUUUGAAAAAAAAAUACAAGUCAAAAAUUAAUCGAUUCGCUACUCCCUUCGAUAUUUUAUGUCUGCGUUGGACCAGGAUCUCGUCACAAUGUUCGAGGUUCCAAGAGUAAUCUCUUAACGACUUAACAACCGUAAAUCUCCUCGACACGCCACGGAGCGAAGAUUCGACGCGCCUACUUCACACAAUUAUCGGACCCAUCGCUUCGGCCGGCAUCAGGUAGAAGCAGAGAUAGGAUAUAGGCACUCGUCCUUUGGUCUCAAUCGUGAUGGAUGGAGUUUUGAGAAUGCUCUCGUCGAACGAUUUCAAGCGAAAAAAAUUGUAAUAAUACUUUUUAGUCCCGGCCUUCCACGUGAAGUUCACGUGCGACACCUCACUUGGAAUUAUCGGCAGUUUACUCUCGAAUUCUGGAUCCAAGAGGUAUCGCGACGCGUCGCCCGAGGAAAAGAAA
Nylanderia fulva is the source of this 1503-nucleotide non-coding RNA. NCBI's taxonomy places the organism in Eukaryota, Metazoa, Arthropoda, Insecta, Hymenoptera, Formicidae. The record is from RefSeq and is a predicted model, not a curated record.